Molecule: ribosomal RNA, 1377 nt
Filed under: uncultured bacterium
Lineage: Bacteria
Description: bacterial SSU rRNA
Rfam family: Bacterial small subunit ribosomal RNA
Source: RNAcentral
AGAGUUUGAUCCUGGCUCAGGACGAACGCUGGCGGCGCGCCUAACACAUGCAAGUCGAACGGAGCUUAGAGAGCUUGCUUUUUAAGCUUAGUGGCGAACGGGUGAGUAACGCGUGAGUAACCUGCCCUAGAGUGGGGGACAACAGUUGGAAACGACUGCUAAUACCGCAUAAGCCCACGGUGCCGCAUGACACUGAGGGAAAAGGAUUUAUUCGCUUUAGGAUGGACUCGCGUCCAAUUAGCUAGUUGGUGAGGUAACGGCCCACCAAGGCGACGAUUGGUAGCCGGACUGAGAGGUUGAACGGCCACAUUGGGACUGAGACACGGCCCAGACUCCUACGGGAGGCAGCAGUGGGGGAUAUUGCACAAUGGGGGAAACCCUGAUGCAGCGACGCCGCGUGGAGGAAGAAGGUUUUCGGAUUGUAAACUCCUGUCGUUAGGGACGAUAAUGACGGUACCUAACAAGAAAGCACCGGCUAACUACGUGCCAGCAGCCGCGGUAAAACGUAGGGUGCAAGCGUUGUCCGGAAUUACUGGGUGUAAAGGGAGCGCAGGCGGGAAGACAAGUUGGAAGUGAAAACCAUGGGCUCAACCCAUGAAUUGCUUUCAAAACUGUUUUUCUUGAGUAGUGCAGAGGUAGGCGGAAUUCCCGGUGUAGCGGUGGAAUGCGUAGAUAUCGGGAGGAACACCAGUGGCGAAGGCGGUCUACUGGGCACCAACUGACGCUGAGGCUCGAAAGCAUGGGUAGCAAACAGGAUUAGAUACCCUGGUAGUCCAUGCCGUAAACGAUGAUUACUAGGUGUUGGGGGAUUGACCCCCUCAGUGCCGCAGUUAACACAAUAAGUAAUCCACCUGGGGAGUACGACCGCAAGGUUGAAACUCAAAGGAAUUGACGGGGGCCCGCACAAGCAGUGGAGUAUGUGGUUUAAUUCGAAGCAACGCGAAGAACCUUACCAAGUCUUGACAUCCCUCUGACGGACUCUUAACCGAGUCUUUCCUUCGGGACAGAGGAGACAGGUGGUGCAUGGUUGUCGUCGGCUCGUGUCGUGAGAUGUUGGGUUAAGUCCCGCAACGAGCGCAACCCCUAUCCCCAGUAGCCAGCAUUUUGGAUGGGCACUCUGAGGAGACUGCCAGGGAUAACCUGGAGGAAGGCGGGGAUGACGUCAAAUCAUCAUGCCCCUUAUGAUUUGGGCUACACACGUGCUACAAUGGCGUAAACAAAGGGAAGCGAGCCUGCGAGGGUAAGCAAAUCCCAAAAAUAACGUCCCAGUUCGGACUGCAGUCUGCAACUCGACUGCACGAAGCUGGAAUCGCUAGUAAUCGCGGAUCAGAAUGCCGCGGUGAAUACGUUCCCGGGUCUUGUACUCACCGCCCGUCA